This 253-nucleotide ribosomal RNA is filed under the name uncultured bacterium. RNAcentral's name for it is "partial 16S ribosomal RNA". It matches the Rfam family "Bacterial small subunit ribosomal RNA", at positions 524 to 776 of the family's 1533-position model. The record is from RNAcentral.
UACGUAGGGGGCAAGCGUUGUCCGGAAUCAUUGGGCGUAAAGCGCGCGUAGGCGGCCCGGUAAGUCCGCUCUGAAAGUCCAGGGCUCAACCCUGGAAAGCGGGUGGAUACUGCCGGGCUAGAGUCCGGAAGAGGCGAGUGGAAUUCCUGGUGUAGCGGUGGAAUGCGCAGAUAUCAGGAGGAACACCGAUAGCGGAGGCAGCUCGCUGGGACGGUACUGACGCUGAGGCGCGAAAGCUAGGGGAGCAAACGGG